GUGGGAGGGGGCUUGCCCCCGAUGGCGACGUGUCAGCCUGCUCAUGAGGCGACUGAGGCACCGCUAUCGGGAGCAAGCCCCCUCCAAA
Molecule: unclassified non-coding RNA, 88 nt
Filed under: Pseudomonas grimontii
Lineage: Bacteria; Pseudomonadati; Pseudomonadota; Gammaproteobacteria; Pseudomonadales; Pseudomonadaceae
Source: RNAcentral